This 3539-nucleotide small RNA is filed under the name Pongo abelii (Sumatran orangutan). RNAcentral's name for it is "retained intron". The record is from RNAcentral. Lineage: Eukaryota; Metazoa; Chordata; Mammalia; Primates; Hominidae.
GUAUUGGGAAGGCAGAUAAAAUGCCAGGUCUGGACUGCCUCUGGGGAUAACCUCACCCUGUGGGAUGUGAAUGAAUAGCAUCUUGCCUGGUAAAUCCACAGGAAUUGAUAAGGCGGGCGCAGUUCUCCCAAACAGGCCUUUUCUCUUUAAGCUCUAGCUGUGGUUUCUGCAGCAAUUUUGUUUUUGCCUUGAAAGAGGUGCUCUGGAUUAUCAGACCUCCAUGUAUGACAAUUUGUACCUGCAUGGAAUUGAAGACUCGGAGGCUGAAGAAUAAUGUGAUGUGUUACCCAAGAUGGUGUGAACAGAGCUUCAAGCCAAUGGAGAAGACUAGGCCUAAAUAGCUGACCUGGUGAAGUGACACAUAAAGCCACACCUGGAGUGCCACCUCCUCAGCAGUCUUUCUCAGUGCCAAUGCAUUUAUGGCUGGUUCAGCGGAUUCCUACACAAGCAGGCCGUCUGACUCCGAUGUCUCUUUGGAAGAGGACCGGGAAGCAAUUCGACAGGAGAGAGAACAGCAAGCAGCUAUCCAGCUUGAGAGAGCAAAGUCCAAACCUGUAGCAUUUGCCGUGAAGACAAAUGUGAGCUACUGCGGCGCCCUGGACGAGGAUGUGCCUGUUCCAAGCACAGCUAUUUCCUUUGAUGCUAAAGACUUUCUACAUAUUAAAGAGAAAUAUAACAAUGAUUGGUGGAUAGGAAGGCUAGUGAAAGAGGGCUGUGAAAUUGGCUUCAUUCCAAGCCCACUCAGAUUGGAGAACAUACGGAUUCAGCAAGAACAAAAAAGAGGACGUUUUCAUGGAGGGAAAUCAAGUGGAAAUUCUUCUUCAAGUCUUGGAGAAAUGGUAUCUGGGACAUUUCGAGCAACUCCCACAUCAACAGCAAAACAGAAGCAAAAAGUGACGGAGCACAUUCCUCCUUAUGAUGUUGUGCCGUCAAUGCGUCCGGUGGUGUUAGUGGGGCCGUCACUGAAAGGUUACGAGGUACAAAUAUCAUCUGUUACUCUUCAGUUCUUGAUCGAGCACCCAGGAGACAGUCAUGUUGAUGCUUGCUCCUCAAGGGUCUGUUUCCACGUGGGUUCUGAUGGAAGCCAGUGCUCAGCAUGGGAAGGCAAUGGGUAUCGUGUGGGGCUCAUGAGGCCCUCUGCCCUUUCUUUCCUCUCUUGCACACUUCUCAUCUUUUAUGAAUUACAUUGUUUAGAAAUACCUCCCUCAAAAUAUUUACAAUGGGAAGAUCUGGUCAAAGAUUUGCUAUACAUUAAAUGCAAAGAAAAGGACUUUAUCUCUCUUGACCAUUCUCAUUAUUAUUAGAAGUAAUAGAGAAUGAACAGCACAAGAGGACAAACAAUCAAUCUUCCAGCAAACGCAAACCUUUAAAGCCCAGAGUUCACCCUGCUGGGUUUUUAAGAUGAUGGCAUAUGCCACCAAAUCCUUCUCUCCUUAUUUAUUUUAAAGGGCACAUGUUUUAAAAGACCACUAAAAACAUUAGUGAACUUUGGAGAUUAAACAAAACCAUGUGACAAGGAAAAGAGUAGAGACUUCGUUUCAGAUGUUUGUUUUGACUUUGUGCUAGCAUGGAUUAAAAAAUAGGUAGAUGUGACAUUAAACUCUGAAAGUGAGCAGCCUCCAGGGCACCAUUCCCGUCGAGCUAGGACAAUGUGUGGCACAUAGUAGGCACUCAGUACACAUUUGCUGAAUGAAUUAAUGAAUCUCUUUCAGGCAGAUCUAAGAAUCCUUGCUCUAUCCCCCUCUUUCUCUCUUGUCUUUCUCAGAGUUGGAAAUGUCAGAGGGAUGAGCAGGAGAGUGGUCUACAAAAAUCCAGCCAUGGGCAUGGAGAAUUUCUGCCAACAUACACAAACUAGCAGGAAGGCUGAGUCCAGUGCUGGCCUCAGUUCUCUAGCUGCUCCUCACUGAAGGCAGGCACAACUCAGGCGUGCCAAGGAUACCCAGCACCUGUGUACAAAGCCAGCCUGUUGUCUCCUGGCAGCAGUUCUAUCCCCUAACGAGGGAAGAGGGAAGAGGGUCUGGUGAACACUGCUGGUUUAUUCCUCAACACCCUGGAGGAGAACCAAGGGGGGUGGAAAUUAGCAAUUGCACAUGGUUAAGCAUGAAAAACACCUUCCAUGGUAACCUACCCCUAGGAGACGAAUGGCUGCAAUAAGGUCUUGGCUCAUAGUGCCCUUCCCUCCCUCCUCUCUCACUUUUGACUUCUCUCUCUCUCUCUCUGCGUGUGUUUGCCUCAUUCUUUUUUUCUCACCUCUGCAAAGGUAACAGACAUGAUGCAGAAAGCCCUCUUUGAUUUCCUGAAGCACAGGUUUGAUGGGAGGAUAUCAAUAACGAGAGUGACAGCUGACAUUUCUCUUGCUAAGAGGUCUGUCCUAAAUAAUCCCAGCAAGAGAGCAAUAAUUGAACGUUCGAACACCCGGUCCAGCUUAGCGGAAGUACAAAGUGAAAUUGAAAGAAUCUUUGAGUUGGCAAGAUCUUUGCAACUGGUUGUUCUUGAUGCAGACACCAUCAAUCACCCAGCACAACUUAUAAAGACUUCCUUAGCACCAAUUAUUGUUCAUGUAAAAGUCUCAUCUCCAAAGGUUUUACAGCGGUUGAUUAAAUCUAGAGGAAAGUCACAAAGUAAACACUUGAAUGUUCAACUGGUGGCAGCUGAUAAACUUGCACAAUGCCCCCCAGAAAUGUUUGAUGUUAUAUUGGAUGAAAAUCAGCUUGAGGACGCGUGUGAACAUCUAGGGGAGUACCUGGAGGCGUACUGGCGUGCCACCCACACAACCAGUAGCACACCCAUGACCCCACUGCUGGGAAGGAAUUUGGGCUCCACAGCACUUUCACCAUAUCCCACAGCAAUUUCUGGGUUACAGAGUCAGCGAAUGAGGCACAGCAACCACUCCACAGAGAACUCUCCAAUUGAAAGACGAAGUCUAAUGACCUCUGAUGAAAAUUAUCACAAUGAAAGGGCUCGGAAGAGUAGGAACCGCUUGUCUUCCAGUUCUCAGCAUAGCCGAGAUCAUUACCCUCUUGUGGAAGAAGAUUACCCUGACUCAUACCAGGACACUUACAAACCCCAUAGGAACCGAGGAUCACCUGGGGGAUAUAGCCAUGACUCCCGACAUAGGCUUUGAGUCUAAUGAAACAAAAAAUAUUCAUCUGUUGACAAUUUGCCAUAGCAGUGCUAGGAUAAACCAAUCAUCUUAACUUGGCUAACAUAGCACAGUAUUUACUGUGCUAAUGGGCUGCUGUCAUUUUAUGCUAAGUAAGGGGCAAAAAAAAAAAAAUUACGUUAUGCCCUUGAGUCUAGAUGGAUAUUAGAUGCCCGAUCAUAUAGAUAUUUUUAAGUGCAACAUUUACAUGAUAACAGUACAUUUUGUUUUCUUCAUAGAUUUAGACACAUCAAUUUGUAAUUUAGGGUACUUACAAGGCACAUAUAAAAUAAUUUCCCAUGCCGGAAAUUCCAAAUGACCAGUUCCAGUUGGAACCAAUUUAUAAACCAAUUCCUGUUGGAAUUUGGGUGAACUGACUAGAAAGUCUACUUGAGCA